This is a long non-coding RNA of Xiphophorus couchianus (Monterrey platyfish), 1472 nucleotides long. RefSeq lists it as uncharacterized. The record is from RefSeq and is a predicted model, not a curated record. Lineage: Eukaryota; Metazoa; Chordata; Actinopteri; Cyprinodontiformes; Poeciliidae. The transcript has 3 exons.
GCCCUCUCCCCCCCACCACCGUUUUACAGCCCCAUUGAUUGACUUAAAAUAGGUUUUGAGCACGAAUUGACUACAAACUACAUCUCAGCCAUAAUGCCUUCCGAUUCUUACCAGCCAACAUUAUGGCUUCUCGCCACUGGAGUGCAGCAGAGUCACCUCAAGCUGAUUAUUAAUUUUCCCAGCGAAUAAAACUGAAACAUCGACAAGCUAACAAGCUAAAGAGCGAAGUUCCGUAAUGUUUCAAUCGAGGACUUUUACCGUCUCCUGCCCCCUGAUUUGAUGCCACAGCUUCGACUCCAUGCAGCUUGUGUUUUGUCCAUGUUUGGAAGCACCUAUCUGUGCGAACAGAUGUUUUCAAUAAUGAAUUUAAACAAGACCAAGCACAGAUCGCGCAUUACUGACGAAAAUCUACACGCCGUUUUGCGGAUUUCUUCAGCACAAGAACUAAAACCAGACAUGGACGAACUGACCAGGGGAAAACUAUGCCAGACAUCCGGCCAGAAAACAUUGAACACAACACAAUGAGGAUGUGUUUGGACUCCAAACUACUGCCGACUGCUGGCCGGGAGAAAAGCUGCGGUCAGAGACUUUGGAGUUGGAGGAGGAUCGGAGGAGACUCAUGCAGAAUGGUACCAAGACGGGAUUCGAACCAAAGACCUUCUUGCUGCAAAGCAACCGUGCUUGAUUUUGAUAUUGAUUAAAUAUUUUUGACUAUAUAAUGAAGCUAAGUUGGUUUCACAUAGUUAAAAUUGAACAUAUAAAUGACCCUAAAGAUGUAAUACUGUCCUUUUUUAUGGUGUUUCUGUGUGUAAUUAUUCAGAGAUAGGACUUUGUCUGAUGCCUCAUAACUCACCCUACGUCUCAUUUCAUGCCAUUGGUUAGUUUCUCUAAAUAGCAAUGAAUAGCAGGAAUAUUUUUGAUACUUAAGUGCUUCUGUGAACAGGUAAGGACAGAUAUGUGCUGUAUAAAACAUGUUAAUUACAUUUUUUACACAAAAUCAUUCUUAGAUAAUGAGAUUUUAGUCUUAUUUUAUGCUCCUUUCAGAAUUAGCAGUUUUAGAGCCUCUUUUCACUUUAAAUCUAAAUAAACUGCUGCUGGCCACGCCCCUCCAACUCAACCUUUAUUAAACUCGCAAUUGUACGGCCACGGCCGUACAUCUUUUACCCUGAAUCAGACUCAGAAGCAGAAGUAAAGACUCGUGAACAACUAUUAAGAAAGUAGCAAGAGAUUUCUGAAUGGUAAGUCAAUCACAAAACACCUGUUCAAUACAGCGGUAAAAUCAGUUAGCUAGCUUGCUGCUCGUCUGUGGGUGGCGCUCCGCUUGGGUUGCUAAGUGACGGACUGGGCUCGUCUGGGGUUGCUAGGUAACGGGCAGUGCUUGCCCAGCCACUGCGACUUGAUAAUUGUAAAGUUUUUAAAACGACCUGUUGUCCAACCACCUAAAAAUAUUAAACUAUUACCAUAAAACAGUA